RNAcentral lists this ribosomal RNA (497 nucleotides) under uncultured bacterium. RNAcentral's name for it is "partial 16S ribosomal RNA". It matches the Rfam family "Bacterial small subunit ribosomal RNA", at positions 28 to 507 of the family's 1533-position model. The record is from RNAcentral.
GAUGAACGCUGGCGGCGUGCCUAAUACAUGCAAGUCGAGCGAACAGACGAGGAGCUUGCUCCUCUGACGUUAGCGGCGGACGGGUGAGUAACACGUGGAUAACCUACCUAUAAUACUGGGAUAACUUCGGGAAACCGGAGCUAAUACCAGAUCAUAUAUUGAACCGCAUGGUUCAAUAGUGAAUGACGGUUUUGCUGUCACUUAUAGAUGGAUCCGCGCCGCAUUAGCUAGUUGGUAAGGUAACGGCUUACCAAGGCGACGAUGCGUAGCCGACCUGAGAGGGUGAUCGGCCACACUGGAACUGAGACACGGUCCAGACUCCUACGGGAGGCAGCAGUAGGGAAUCUUCCGCAAUGGGCGAAAGCCUGACGGAGCAACGCCGCGUGAGUGAUGAAGGUCUUCGGAUCGUAAAACUCUGUUAUUAGGGAAGAACAAAUGUGUAAGUAACUAUGCACGUCUUGACGGUACCUAAUCAGAAAGCCACGGCUAACUACGUG